AGAGACCUCUUGCUGGGAGGUGGCUGUGAAGGGAUUGUGUAGGAAGAAAACAAUGUACGGAAGAGUUAGCCAGAAACUGUUAGACUUCAGCCCAAAGAAGACUUUAAAAUGGGAUUUGUGGUCAUAAAUAGAACAGCACAUCAAUAGCACUAGAAGAACUUAUUGACCUGGAAAGAUCAAUCAGUCUGGAGGCUGAAUAUUUAUCUAUGCUUCAAGAAUAUUUUUCUGCCCAUUACCUUGUUGAUCAGAGCUUUAGAACAUUAUCAGCUUGAAUAAAUGUCCAAAUUCCUGUUCCA
This is a long non-coding RNA of Pezoporus occidentalis (night parrot), 296 nucleotides long. RefSeq lists it as uncharacterized. The transcript has 3 exons. The record is from RefSeq and is a predicted model, not a curated record. NCBI's taxonomy places the organism in Eukaryota, Metazoa, Chordata, Aves, Psittaciformes, Psittacidae.